Molecule: ribosomal RNA, 406 nt
Filed under: uncultured bacterium
Lineage: Bacteria
Description: partial 16S ribosomal RNA
Rfam family: Bacterial small subunit ribosomal RNA
Source: RNAcentral
AUUGAACGCUGGCGGCAGGCCUAACACAUGCAAGUCGGGCGAGUGGCGGACGGGUGAGUAAUGUAUGGGGAUCUGCCUGAUGGCGGGGGAUAACUACUGGAAACGGUAGCUAAUACCGCAUACAAUCAGAUGAACCCAUAUGGGAUUAGCUGGUUGGGGGGGUAACGGCUCACCAAGGCGACGAUCCCUAGCUGGUCUGAGAGGAUGAUCAGCCACACUGGAACUGAGACACGGCCCAGACUCCUACGGGAGGCAGCAGUGGGGAAUAUUGCACAAUGGGCGCAAGCCUGAUGCAGCCAUGCCGCGUGUAUGAAGAAGGCCUUCGGGUUGUAAAGUACUUUCAGUGGGGAGGCGUUACCGACAGAAGAAGCACCGGCUAACUCCGUGCCAGCCGCCGCGGUAAUAC